UUGUUAUAGAGGCUUAUGAAAAAACAAGACAAGUUAUAUUGUUACUUCACUUAGUAUGAUCAUCUCUAGGUCCAUCCAUGUUGCUGCAAAUGGCAUUAUUUCAUUCUUUUUUAUAGAAAUAUGCCCAGGAGUGGGAUUGGUGGAUCAUAUGGACUGUAAAGAUGGAGGGCGGCAGACCUUAUGUAUUGCCAACUGCAACAAAGCAUUUCUUGAUGUCCAGCUCCCUUCACAGAGAGGAAAUAUUCUGUGCUUCUUGGCAGAAUGGUGUUAUUUCAAUGCAUUGUAUGGGUAACUCACUGCCUUGCAGAGGAAAGAAUUGCUUCUAACUGGAUCACAGAAAAGGCAGUACUUAUAGUCAUGGAAUUAAUUAUAUAAAAUCAUGAUCCUUCACUGAAUGUGUCACCGGGCCAAAAGAAGAAAAUUCAAUAGGAAGAAUUAGACCUUGAAGAGUGAUUGACGAUUCAUCUCACUACAGAUUUUUCACUUUGAGACUUUCAUUUGCUUUGCUGUAACACAAUUUCCUUUUUUUUUUUUUCCACCUCUAAGAAUAUCCUUCAGACUGAGGAAUGCUUUGAAAUUCUCUGAACUGGGGGUAAUUAAAAUUAAACUUUUUAAACCUCAGUUGAUUUUUUUAAGAACAUGAAAGGACAUGUUUUAUUCACCUAAGAAUAUUUUCUUGUAGCUGGCUUUGUUUAAAGGAGAGACAAUGAUAAGGUGAACUACAAGAAACUAUCAAAUUAGCAAGUUUUCUUAGGAUCUUGUUUUCAUGUUCCUCUUCCUUGAUUCAUGGUGGUAAGCAUUCUCUUAAA
Molecule: long non-coding RNA, 809 nt
Organism: Camelus dromedarius (Arabian camel)
Lineage: Eukaryota; Metazoa; Chordata; Mammalia; Artiodactyla; Camelidae
Exons: 4
Source: RefSeq, a predicted model, not a curated record